RNAcentral lists this transfer RNA (81 nucleotides) under Pseudomonas sp. RNAcentral describes it as "tRNA-Asn". Lineage: Bacteria; Pseudomonadati; Pseudomonadota; Gammaproteobacteria; Pseudomonadales; Pseudomonadaceae. The record is from RNAcentral.
GGCUCGCGUCGCUGACCAGGCUGCCCGCCUGGCUGUUGUCCAGGCUGGCCGCCGUGACGUUCAAGCGUUGGCCUGCCCCCA